CCUGCGCCAAGCCGUCUGAACGUCCCGGCAUGCCCCGCGGCAGCUUCCGACCCAGCUCGUUGGAGGAGAUGGAGCUGUUGGUGAGUGACGCGUGUGAAGCUGACUUUUCCUGUUGGGAAGGCACCGAGCGCUGCGGCUUCUCCCUCUACCCUGCAGCUGUGGUCUUCCGUCCCGGGACGCGAAGACACCGAGUGGCCGUGUGCCGGGACCUCGCCCCUCGGGGGAGGGGAUGGGGAGGAGGUGGCCGGCGUGCCACCCGUCUCCCUGCGGGGCACCCGUCCGUGCAUUUCCCCCCGGAGAGACUUUUGAAAGGUUCCGAGCCUCCUGCCCUCGCGAUUUACGCCGAUGAAGCACUCGUGCACUGAGACCUGUUGUCUCGGAAGAGCACUCAGACACUGCCCUUGUCCUCAAGAGAGCUCCCAAACGAGUGGAGAAGUCAGCCCACCAGAAACAUCUUGGUAUUAGGUGGAGUUAGAGAAGGCGCUUUGCGAGAGAGAGUUAGAGACAGGGCCGAAGAGUUCAGAGCAUUCGGAGGCUUCAAGAAGGCGGUAGUGGUAAUGCCAGUACUCAUCCUGUGGGGUGCGGGUGCUUGCCUUUCGAUGGUGCUCUCCUUCAGGACAUAAAAGUUUCCUUCUUUCUACAUUUCUAGGCUCAGGUGCCCUUCCUCCCCUGGCUGGGAGGGACGGAGACUUGCAGUCCCCUUGUAUUCAGUGAAUCGAACCCUGAGAAGAGUUUAGGUAGGAAGUUUGUGGGUCAGGGUAU
Long non-coding RNA from Ailuropoda melanoleuca (giant panda), 762 nucleotides. RefSeq lists it as uncharacterized. The transcript is spliced from 2 exons. NCBI's taxonomy places the organism in Eukaryota, Metazoa, Chordata, Mammalia, Carnivora, Ursidae. The record is from RefSeq and is a predicted model, not a curated record.